GAGCUCUUUCUGAGAUGAAGAGAAUUCUCAAUGUCAAGAUUUGAACAAGAAGAGAAUGGAAUACACAAUAUGGACAUCCAUAAAAAUUCAUCAGAGAGCAUUUUACUACUGAGCUGCAAAGAAAAACACAGAUGGAAGAACAUUGAGGGGGAAUUCCUAAAUGGGAGCAGUUAGCAGCUAUGAAAAUGUAGAUAUUCAAGAAGAAAAGAAAAAGUAAGCAAAACUGAAUCAUGAGACCAUAGAAGAGUCAAAAAAAUGUCAAUUUAUCUCAGCUUUCUGCAAACUACAACCCAUGGGCCAAAUUCAAGGGAAAAACUUAAAAUGGAUAUGAAAAGUGAAGAAAGUGAUCAUAGGAGAAAACCAUUUCAGCCCUUAGGUGUAUGGCUGCCAUAUUUGGAGGAGCUGACUGAAGAUAUGAUAAGGAGUUUGAAGCAACAUUGGAAGCUGUGUGCAUCCGGGUUGAGGUAGUAGGUUGUAUGGUUUAGAGUUACACCCUGGGAGUUAACUGUACAACCUUCUAGCUUUCCUUGGAGCACACUUGAGCCGUCGAGGAAUUCUUCAUCACUUUAACCUGAUUGAGCCAAUUUGUGUGCAAGAAGGUGAUUCCUCAAGAUUACCCAAAUGAUCUGAUACAGGAUUCCGUCUUCCUGAGCAUUAUUUCACACCCAUGGCUAGUUUCUCUGCUACAGGAUAGAGGAAUAACUCCUGAG
RNAcentral lists this long non-coding RNA (710 nucleotides) under Homo sapiens (human). RNAcentral describes it as "mir-99a-let-7c cluster host gene". The stretch from base 455 to 530 matches the Rfam family "let-7 microRNA precursor family". The record is from RNAcentral. Lineage: Eukaryota; Metazoa; Chordata; Mammalia; Primates; Hominidae.